GAUGAACGCUGGCGGUGUGCCUAAUACAUGCAAGUCGAGCGAACAGACGAGGAGCUUACUCCUCUGACGUUAGCGGCGGACGGGUGAGUAACACGUGGAUAACCUACCUAUAAGACUGGGAUAACUUCGGGAAACCGGAGCUAAUACCGGAUAACAUGUUGAACCGCAUGGUUCAACAGUGAAAGACGGUCUUGCUAUCACUUAUAGAUGGAUCCGCGUCGCAUUAGCUAGUUGGUAAGGUAACGGCUUACCAAGGCAACGAUGCGUAGCCGACCUGAGAGGGUGAUCGGCCACACUGGAACUGAGACACGGUCCAGACUCCUACGGGAGGCAGCAGUGGGGAAUCUUCCGCAAUGGGCGAAAGCCUGACGGAGCAACGCCGCGUGAGUGAAGAAGGUCUUCGGAUCGUAAAACUCUGUUAUUAGGGAAGAAAAAAUGUGUAAGUAACUAUGCACGUCUUGACGGUACCUAAUCAGAAAGCCACGGCUAACUACGUG
This 497-nucleotide ribosomal RNA is filed under the name uncultured bacterium. Its description in RNAcentral is "partial 16S ribosomal RNA". It matches the Rfam family "Bacterial small subunit ribosomal RNA", at positions 28 to 507 of the family's 1533-position model. The record is from RNAcentral.